AGAGCCGAGGGCCUGGUGGGCUGGAGGCAGGACAACAUCUUUGCCGGCCCUGGCGUUGGGCUCCCAUCUGCAGGACCGUUGACCCUCACUUCCCGCGGCUGGCCAUGCGCAGGGAGCUUUUCAGCCGCUGAUGUGCUCAACCUCCAGAAAAACAGGAUGUGCGCUCUCAGAUCUGACUAAGCCGCGAGAUGCAAAGUCCUUCUGCACCCCGCCCCAGCCCAGCUCCCCAGCCGCUACCGCCCGCACGUUGCCUUCCCACAGCGGGAUGCGCUCAGCCUCCUGGUGAUUCCACCGGGCUGCCUGCGCCCUCUGCUUCAUUACCAGCUGCGCCCAGCAAGGUAGACUGCGUGCCUAAACUGUUUCAUGAGGGUUUCAGAUUCAUGAUGAGGAGACAGCCACAUCCCCGGGUGGCUGAAGAGGAUUACCAUCAGCCUAGGAAAGGAGAAUGGUUGAGGGACGCUGCCUGUAGGAGGCACGUAGGGUCCUGGAGCCCCCAGGCCGCUGUGGCCCCCUGCAGAGAGUCUCUCCAGAGGGCGAUGCCCCGCCUCUGUCCCUGCCCACUCUCACCCAGUCUCUUGCUAUUUGUUCCUGCCUUAAGUCCCCACCAUGUGCAAUGAAGGAAACAGAAACAGAAAAUGCAAAUCAGAAGCAACUCUGCUCAAGGUGGACAGUGGAGAACUGGAUACAAAAUGGAUUAUCUACCUCUUUUGCAUGGAGCCAGUGUCCAUUCAUUCAUCCAACAGGUACAUGGGAUACACACUGACAAAAAAAAGAAACAAAAAUCUCUGUCCUCAUGGAGCUUACAUGCCGACUCUUCCAAGCUUUGCCUCGUGGUAGCAAGAUGGUUGCUGCAGUUCCAGGCAUCAAAUCAGGUAGGACAACACCCUAUAUUUACAGGGCAUCUCUUCCAAUGUGUUUCUUUAUUAGAAAGGAUAAAGAUUUCCCCUUGUAUCUCAUUGGCCAAAAUUUCUUCACUUAUUUCUUUCUAAAGCAAUUACUUUAGGCAAAUGGAGUGGUAUUUCCACAGUUAGUUUAUGCUGUUCAGAAUUUACCUUUUUAUGGAAGCUUAAAAAAGCACUGACAUGAGGCACCCAAGACCUGGGGUGCUUGCAGUCAUAGAUACAGUUUUCUAAACUCUUUGGGUCAUUCUAGUUCAUUCAACAGCCAGAGUUGAAGCUGGUGCUCAGAUGCUCUGCAUGACACAUUUUAGGGUUGAGGGGUUGAGAAGGUUUGAGUUUCCUUGUAGACCUGCUUAAUUUCAUUCCUGAACCUGGGAUAUCCCUCAGAAGGAGCAGGCCCAUCUGUUGAGGCCUCCAGACUAUCCUCUUUGGCACUGGUGGCUAGACCAGUGUCCUAGCAGGGCUACCCCCCGUGCCACCCCAGGAAAUCCCCGAUGGCCCUCCUCUCAGCUGCGGACACCCAGCCCUUGCUCAGGGUACCUGGCCGAAUACAGUCCCCAGCAGUUUGUCCAGCCUUCCCUCAGUCCUAUUUGGUUCUUUGUUUUCUUCUUUUUAAAAUUAAAUCUCUCCUCCAAAAUCAUAAAAAUAUAUGUGUUUAUUUGUGUAAAAAUACACGUGCAACCGCGGAAACAGCACAAGGACGCCUGCACAAAGAAAGAGUCGGAUGAUCUUUCCCUGCCACCUCCAUCACCCUUCCUUCCAGGAGACCAGGCCCCUUCUGCUCACUGUCUCUCUCCAUCACCAGUGUCAGCAGGCCCCUGGCCCACCCUGGGGGUCUCUGUGGGGGGAGUGGGGAGGAACAGGGGGGAUGGGCAGGGGGUCAGUCAGAAUCAAAGAAAUGGGAGGGCUUAAUUCAUACCCCACCAUCUUUUCUCUUAACUCUUCAGUUCAAAAUAAUUUUAAACUUUGAGAAAAGUUGUAGGAUUAGCACGAUGAAUUCCCAUAUAUCUUCCAUCCAUGGAUUCUUGACAGUUUUGCUAACGAUCCUAACAAUUUCUUUUUUUUCCCCAGCUUUAUUAAGCUGUAAUUGACACAUAAGAUGGUAAGCUGCUUAGCGGGCACAUCGUGCUGGUUCCGUAGAUGUGCCCGUGGCAAUUCCUGUGAUAUUCCGAAGAGUCCGGGAGCUGGCCCGAGCCACACGUGGGCCCCCGUCUCGUAGGGCUGGUCCCCUCUGACCUGGAACGCUUCCUCGGCCUUCCCUUGACCUUCCUCACAUUGACUUUCUUAGAGGUUACAGAGCAGACACGUUGAGGAAUGUCCUCCUCUGAGGCUUGUCCAGCGUUUCCUCAUGCUCAGAUUCAGGUUAUACACACUUUUGGCCAGAAUAUCACAGGAGUGAGGGUGUGUUCUUCCCAUCGCAUCCCAUCCGGUGGCGUGUGAUGUCAAUUUGUCCAUCACUGGUGGUGUUUGCUGUUGACCCCAUCACUAUGGUGCCUGUUGGGUUUAUUCUCUGUAAAGUUACUUUUUCCUCCUUUGUAAUUAGUGAGUAACCUAUAGGGAGAUGCUUUGAAAUUAUAUAAAAUUCCAUUCCUCAUCCCAAUUUUAUCUAUGAUAUUUAACAUCCAAUAAUUUUUCUGACCUGAAAUUAUUAUAACUGUGAUGGUUACCAUACAUCAAUUCUCUUCUAAAAAUUUUUUUUACAUUUGCCCAUUGUGCUGUAAGAGCUUUCUCUUCUCCCCCUUAUUUAUUCACAUUUUUGCUUAUGUCAGUUUACACUCAUGAACUCCUAUUUUAGGGUUAUACUUCUUAGCUAUCAUUAUUAUUUUGAUCCUAUGUUAUCCCAGUAUUGCCAGUGGGAGCUCCUGUGCGUGGGCUUCUGUGUUCUUUUAACAUCUCCAAGUCGUUCACUGAGCACUUCCAUAUUUUCUGGCACAAAAAGAUGCUCCAGGCUUAUCUUGUUCUUUAUCUGCCCCAGCUCUGUAAGCAUCAGUCAUUUUCUCUAAGGACCUCGGUCCCUUUAGUGCAGAAUGGUAGUUAGAAGCCAAGAUACGGGUUUUGUAUGCACUGAUUGCCACUGGGCUGUCACUAUCCCCAGACCUCUCAGUGUAUCAAACUACGACAUCUGUGCAUAGGUACACACACACAUCUGUGUCUACCUUUCUCUGUCUAUAGUUUGAAAGCUGUGACUUCACACUAGGACCUCCUGUUCCGGUGCAGUGCCGUGGAGGUCACUCUAGCCCCCUGUGUUUGUACCUUCCUCCCCAUCAGUGAGAAACCUGUGCCCAUUGGUUUCAUCCAUUUCCCUGUGUAGCCACUGGCCCGAUCCCGGCAGUGCCUGUCAAAGCCUCCCUCACGAGGUGCCACAGCCUCCACACUCCCUGAGGCUCCACGGCUGCCCCGCUUGGGGCUGCCCCAUGCUGAUAUGGGCACGGUCUCCGCUGCCCAGGCUGCAUCUCUGGUUGCUCCUUGUUCUUCAUUCUGACCUUUAUUUACUGCUUGCCUGGUUCAGACUACCAGGGUGUGUGGCGAGGGGGGCCUGAGGGAGAGCAAAGGAAGUGGAAGUGGGUCCCAGCACCACAGAGAGGGAGGAGAGCCACCCCCUCAGAACCACUCUCCCUUCCGCUUGGCCUGUCAGUUCCUCGCGGCCCACAGAGCAGCGAGUCACAUCCCAGGUGACCCAGCAAAAGCAGGCUGUUCACCAGCAGCAUCAUCUCUGUUCUGACACCUGGGGAUCUUCUGGAGGGGCAGGAGCAGAGAUUGCACCCCCACACCGACUCACAGCUGCUGAAGCUGAGCUGUGGGCUCUCCCUCCCUCCACCCUUCUCUCCUCAUUUUCUGUCCUCCUCUGAUGAGGUCUUGGUCUAAGGCCAGAAGAGCUCUGGACCAGCAUCCCAGCCUGAAGGUUUUGAAACCCAGGGACAUGGCAGAGGCUGAGCUUGUGUGCAUUGCUGGCAGAGGGUCCCAGCCUGAGCAGGGCGUGGGGAGCAGCUGCAAGUCCCUAACAGCUUCCUUCGGGUGGGCACUUCUGCCCUCCUGCUUGUGAAGCCAAAAACCUGUGCUGGGGCAGCCCCACUCUGAGCAGAAGGGACUAAAUGGAAGCAGAAGGGAAAGGCCGCACAAGUCAGGGCCCAGAGGCUGCUCCUGCCUGCACUUUGGCGAAGGACUAGGAACUGUCACAAGCACAGGCAUAUUCAUCCCAAGGCCCCAGGGCACUUCCACCGCUGUCAGCUCAGCCCUUGAGUCCUCACCUCCACUGGGUGGCUGGAACAGGAGGGGGCUCAUUCCCCUUCACCAGGCCCCAGAAUGCCCAGCUCUACGCAGAAGAAAUCCUGGGUCCCUAUUCAUUUGAGCUUGUACCCAUGGCUAAGCAUGUCAAAAUAGCUUCCCAGUUCAGAAUGUCUGCUAAACUGUGUAGGGGAGGAAAUGAGGAUCAGAGAGGUUAAGUGAUGUGCCUAAGGAAACACAGCUAGAAAGUAGCAGAGCUGCAAUUUAACCCUUCAGGUGUCUCUGAAAUCAAGGGUCUUGGCCCUAUUCUCAGCUGAGUUAAAUGAACUAGCAAACACUGGCAUUUGGACUUAGAAAGUCAGGCCGUAGCAGGUUCUGUGACAGGAAGGAGGCCCUAUUUCUAAGACAGGUGCCAAAGCAGGAAUCUCCAUUGGGGGAGGGGGGUGUUGGGAUGAGGGGCAGAGUCAGGGCCGUCCUUCACAGCCUGAGUGAAUUCUCUGCUGGUUUCCUUUCCCGGUUUCCCCAUACAGCUCCUUCAUGCGGCUUCACUGCCCAGCCCAAUGUCCACCUCUGAGACGGCGCGGGCUUUCCCAGGGCCAGCUGGGUCUGGGGGGAGCGGUGGGGAAUGGGAACACUCCAGAAUGACGCAGAGGCACCCCUUCCAGCCAGUCCCCUGCACACACAGGUCUUCUCUGAAGGUGUUUCACGUCUUGCUCCCUGCCGUUGGGACAGCGAUCCCGAGAGGCACGUAGGGCUGGUGGCAGCCGGGCAGGAACCUGCUGCAGAUUCCAGUUCCUGGGUGCUGUCGGAGCAGCCUCCCUGCGAGGGGGCGAGGGCGGCCCUGGGGGAGAGUGGCUAUGUGGGCCUUACGGGAAUCUGAUGUUCAGGAUUCGCACCUUAUUCCAGGUAACAGGAACAGGGGAAAGGGCCUUCAGCAAGCCGCUUGUGGAAGCCAAAAGUUCCAGAAAAAUCAAAUACGUCGAUCAAAUUAGGAAAGAGGAAAAGGUUUACUGCAUCCAACAGGCAGCUUGGAAAACUUAGCUUUGAUUCCCCGUUUUUCUCCUCCUGCUGAUACACGGAUGAGAGAUGACCAGAUUGAUGGGUAGUGGAUUCUUGAGGACGCGAGACCGGGAGGUGCGCUGGGCGCUGCAGGCUGGGUCCCAACCGCUGCCCUUCUGGGUCCCUGGAGGCCGCAGAGCGGCGGCCGUGGAGAGUCACCGCUCGCCCACCGGGCUGCGGGCAACCGGGAGGCAGGGGGCAGUUAAGGGCAGAGGGCAGGGCGAGGGGCAGUAAGGGGGAGCGGAAGCGAAGGGACUAGAAAAGAAAGCAGAUAAACUGAACGAAAGGCCAACGUUGACUUUGGGCGCGAGAGAAAGAGAGACGGCAAACGGAAGGCGGGGGUCGGGAAGGACGGAGACCGCGGUGAAGGGCAGGGUCCGGAGAAACCGCUCCGACGAGGGGCGCGCGGUGCCAUCCCCUUGUUUGGGCAGAUGCCUGGAUCGGGGCCCGCCUGCUCGCGUCCGGCCCUGGGAGGGGACAGUGUCUGUUUAGAUCUGUGUCUAAAUUUAACCCUGGUCGCCGGGCUCCUGCCCCUCCUCCAUCCUCCCCUCCCCCCACAGCCCG
Molecule: non-coding RNA, 5747 nt
Organism: Manis javanica (Malayan pangolin)
Lineage: Eukaryota; Metazoa; Chordata; Mammalia; Pholidota; Manidae
Source: RefSeq, a predicted model, not a curated record